Molecule: long non-coding RNA, 2781 nt
Organism: Carassius auratus (goldfish)
Lineage: Eukaryota; Metazoa; Chordata; Actinopteri; Cypriniformes; Cyprinidae
Source: Ensembl
CAUAACAUAACAUCAAUGUAACAUAACAUAACAUAACAUAACAUAACAUGACAUAACAUAACAUCAAUGUAACAUAACAUAGCAUAACAUAACAUAACAUAACAUCAGUGUAACAUAACAUAACAUAACAUAACAUAACAUCAGUGUAACAUAACAUAACAUAACAUAACAUAACAUAACAUCAAUGUAACAUAACAUAACAUAACAUAACAUAACAUAACAUAACAUCAAUGUAACAUAACAUAACAUAACAUAACAUAACAUAACAUAACAUAACAUAACAUCAAUGUAACGUACAUCAAUGUAACGUAACAUAACAUCAAUGUAAUGUAACAUCAACGUAACAUCAACGUAACAUCUACGUAAUGUAACAUCAACGUAACGCAACAUCAACGUAGCGUAACAUCAAUGUAACGUAACAUAACAUAAAAUAACAUCUUGUAAUUUAUCAAUGUAUCAAUGUGAAAACAGACCUGCAGCAGAAAGGACAUCAGGUCUAAAACGAGCAAUCAAGCUAAAUGUGAAACCAGCCUGAAACUGCAUGACCUGUUGAGAGGGAACUCAUUUCAGGAGCGCAGUAUUGAUCAACUGAGGAAUCUCAUUCAGAUCACAACAUCUAAAUGACUGAGAUGCAGGAGAGUGAAGGACACAGCUUGUGUGUGUGUGUCUCAUCUGUCACUUCUCUGUUAGGUAAAGGCUAUGAGGGGUCAGAUGCACACAGUGGUCAGCCGGCAGCAGUAACAGAAGCAUUACUGUGUGUCUCCAUCCAUCCAUCCAUCAAUCAGUCGCUCAGGGCAUGAGGUCACAGGUCACCAGGUCACGGUGGGCAGUUAUGCUUCAUUACAUUACCUGUCUGCUGCCCUGGAACACAGGAAACCGCUUCUAUGGGAUCACACUGCCACUUCCUGCCUGCACCUACAUCACCUCCAGAACACCAGAGGGUGCUGUUCAGAAUGUGAAUCAACCACCUUGAUUUCAUUAUGUGCUGUGGUGCUCAGAGAGGGGCUGAAAUUGUCUGGACUGAUGCAGAAUGCUGUUUGUAGCUGCAGUCCUGAAAAGCACUUAAAGUGUGCUUUGAAAGAGGGCUGCUCUCUCCCGAGGCCACGUCUCUCUGUUGCAUGUAGUGUGGGCGCCUCUAUCUCCAGCAGGCUGAUUCAAACUCUCACACCAUCUCAGCAGAGUUUGGAUACACUCUGAGUAUUGCACAACGCUCAAACCAAACAUCCCAUAGACGGUUUGAAUGCACGUGACACCAGAAGUCCUGAGGGCUGGAUGUCAGUCUGGCUUUCAAUCACAUGUAAGUGUGGCUUAGCAUUCUGACCCCUCCUCGUCACGUGAUGUGAAUGGGAUGAGACGUUUCGGACACGUGCUGCAUGCAGGAGGCACAAACAUAAAAUAUGCUGCUUAAUGCAUGCAUUCAUGUUUACAUGUAGGCUAAAUAGAGAGCAAUACUAAAAAGGCCAAAUUAAGUUUGUUUCUACACUAAAAAUGUCUCAUACUUUAAGCACUAAUCAGUGGCUCACUUUAUCACACAGAUAAAGUGUAGAGUGUGUAAGAAUUAUUCGUAUGCUGGAUAAAUGAAAGGUGUCACAUUGGUUAGCAUGGCCAUGUUAGCUGAUCUGAGAACAACUAGUCUCUGAAUUAGCUGAUGUUUGCGUUCAUGGCAUUAGAUUGAUGAAAUAUGGUGAAGUUUUUCAUAAAUAUAACAAAUUUGUCUUGCCAUAUUCAUUAAUUUUGUAAACUUCACACUGACUAAAAUGGCAUUGAAAAUACCAAUUAAAAUCAUAUGUUUAAUAUGGUUUUAAAUUCCUAUCAAGCGAUGUCAUUGCAUUUAUGGUAAAAAUUAAUAUAUUUUAGUCAUAUUUGUCUAUCAUACAACAUGCAGUUCACAUCUGUAUUUCAUAAUUUUUCAUUAAAAUCUGUAAUUUUUAACUUAUUACACUUACGUCUGAAACUGAUUUAAAUGCUUCUCAGUUUUCAGCUGUUUUGGUGCAAAAUUUAAAUCUGCAGAAAUUUCUUAAUUUUGAACAUCAACAUAAUCUUCAUGGGAAACUUUCUGCCUUCACGUAAAACUCCCAAACACGUGGUUUCCUAUUGAAACAACUUAAGUUUGCCUCCAAGAUUUCAUCAUGCAGUGGUAAAAGAGACCAGGCAUGUAUGAUGCAGCCUGUGCAAUGUCAUACAUUUUGCUUUUAAAAAUAAAAUAAAUGUGGAUGUGCAAUAAUUUCAACUGCAAGACGAAUGGCUCUUUUAACUGGAAUAUUCUAAAUUAAACCAAAUAUACAGUUUUAUAUAUUAAUUAAAAAAUAUACCUAACUGAAAUAAUACACUAUACACUAUUGUAAGGUGUCAUAUAAUGAGAAUUCUUUAUGCUGUUGUUAUGGACAGAGCUAAUUCAAAACGUGACUUCACGCAUAUAAGCAGUUAAAACUAAUUUGCGCUGAACAUUUAUGCUGUGAAUAAAUCUGGUUAAUCUCAAAUGCACUUGAUGCACCUGGGUGAGUUCAUUAACCCCCUAGCAAAGCUUCAGUUUAAUGUCUGCAUUCACUAUAUAGCUCAGCUAACACCUGCCGUAUGUUUUCCUACAAGCCUCAUGAUCCAAGUCUGGUCCCAGUCCAAAUAAUGCUUCUCUCCUAAUCAUUUCUUGUCAGACACAUUUAACUAAUGUUCUUUGUUUUUCUAUUUUUUCCCACCCCCUCUCUCUCUCUCUCUCCAUGUCUGAAUGCUUUACUCAACAGUGAAUCACAGUGUGUUGGGUGGUGUGUGUUUGGUUGAAUCUGG